UGAUAGCUGCUGUGGCACGGA
This 21-nucleotide microRNA is filed under the name Gallus gallus (chicken). RNAcentral's name for it is "gga-miR-1637". Lineage: Eukaryota; Metazoa; Chordata; Aves; Galliformes; Phasianidae. The record is from miRBase by way of RNAcentral.